Molecule: ribosomal RNA, 514 nt
Filed under: Cercospora capsici
Lineage: Eukaryota; Fungi; Ascomycota; Dothideomycetes; Mycosphaerellales; Mycosphaerellaceae
Description: eukaryotic LSU rRNA
Rfam family: 5.8S ribosomal RNA (bases 152-305)
Source: RNAcentral
GGCCUCCUGAGAGGAGGCCUUCGGGCUCGACCUCCACCCUUUGUGAACACAACUUGUUGCUUCGGGGGCGACCCUGCCGUUUCGACGGCGAGCGCCCCCGGAGGCCUUCAAACACUGCAUCUUUGCGUCGGAGUUUAAGUAAAUUAAACAAAACUUUCAACAACGGAUCUCUUGGUUCUGGCAUCGAUGAAGAACGCAGCGAAAUGCGAUAAGUAAUGUGAAUUGCAGAAUUCAGUGAAUCAUCGAAUCUUUGAACGCACAUUGCGCCCCUUGGUAUUCCGAGGGGCAUGCCUGUUCGAGCGUCAUUUCACCACUCAAGCCUCGCUUGGUAUUGGGCGCCGCGGUGUUCCGCGCGCCUCAAAGUCUCCGGCUGAGCUGUCCGUCUCUAAGCGUUGUGAUUUCAUUAAUCGCUUCGGAGCGCGGGCGGUCGCGGCCGUUAAAUCUUUCACAAGGUUGACCUCGGAUCAGGUAGGGAUACCCGCUGAACUUAAGCAUAUCAAAAGGCCGGAGGAAA